AGAUUGAACGCUGGCGGCAGGCCUGACACAUGCAAGUCGAGCGGCAGCACGGGUACUUGUACCUGGUGGCGAGCGGCGGACGGGUGAGUAAUGCCUAGGAAUCUGCCUGGUAGUGGGGGGAUAACGCUCGGAAACGGACGCUAAUACCGCAUACGUCCUACGGGAGAAAGCAGGGGACCUUCGGGCCUUGCGCUAUCAGAUGAGCCUAGGUCGAUUAGCUAGUUGGUGAGGUAAUGGCUCACCAAGGCGACGAUCCGUAACUGGUCUGAGAGGAUGAUCAGUCACACUGGAACUGAGACACGGUCCAGCUCCGAGGGAGCAGCGAGUGGGAAUGUGGAACAAGUGGGACGAAAGCCGUGACUACCGAGCCUAUCGCCGUCGUAGGUGAG
This 389-nucleotide ribosomal RNA is filed under the name uncultured soil bacterium. RNAcentral describes it as "bacterial SSU rRNA". It matches the Rfam family "Bacterial small subunit ribosomal RNA", at positions 26 to 409 of the family's 1533-position model. The record is from RNAcentral.